Long non-coding RNA from Passer domesticus (house sparrow), 3733 nucleotides. RefSeq lists it as uncharacterized. The record is from RefSeq and is a predicted model, not a curated record. The transcript is spliced from 5 exons. NCBI's taxonomy places the organism in Eukaryota, Metazoa, Chordata, Aves, Passeriformes, Passeridae.
GUCAGCCCACUCCACCUCAGCUGUACGACUGCAUGAAGUCAGGGGAAAGGCAUUCGUGCAGGGAUCUGUUUUUCUCGUUGGUGAAUGGAUUGUUCUGUACACUGCAGUGUGACAACAGUAGCUAUCACAUUUCUGAGUUAAUAAAACACCCUGACACUGGCUGAGACGCUACCUCAUAGCGCCGGCUGCGCCUCUCGCGUUCCCGCAGCCACGGCCUGCACCUUCCACCAGUGCUGGCACCCCGAUCCUCACCCCUGAGGACUCCCUGACAUCUCAGUGACAGGGGAACCACACACACCCAGAUACCUCGGCUGCUGAAAGGAGGAGGUUGCUGGAAUGGCAGGAAGGCUGUGAGGGGGACAUGGCCCAGAUUUCAGGCCUGCUGGUUUCUAACUGGGAUCUUAGGGUGGAUGGUGUGUGGCACACCCAGCCCGGACCUCAGGCAAGUGUGUGAGACCUCAGUCAGCCCUUCCAGCUCUGGGCACUGACCUGGUUUUACUCUUUAGUAAGGGUAUUUGUACUCUUCCUAAAUGUACUCCAUGUUUAGAGGAGCCUGAGCUGUUUUAAAUGGCACUGCUGGCCUGGAGAAAGCCUCUGCUGCCUCCUUGUGAAACACAGGGCUCCUGAGAGCUCCUUCUGUUAUCCCUCACAUUCCCCCUGCAUACUCCCAAGAUAAACAAAUUCUGUUCUUUGAAGGACGUCUGUGACUCACCCUGACCACUAACAGCCCACACAUUUCAGAUGAUAUAAAGAUCCUUUAAACACCUGAAACUAUAUUUCUGUGGAUCCUGUCACUGACAGCACAGUAAUGAACUGACUGAGGAGCUCUAACAGGGAGCACAAUGCAGGGAGGUUUUCAUUUUUAACCUUUGUUUAAACAAGAAGACAGAAUUGAUUGCUAAAAGGACCUUGCUGAACAGCCUUCAGUUUGUAUUGAAGACAAUUUCCAUGAAAACUGGAGCUGCCUGUUGCUGCCAUCACCAAGGAAGGGGCAACAGACACAAUCAUUUGUGAUUAAGUAGCUAAGGAACACAGGAAUUUAGACCCAAGUCUCUGAAGCUGUGGUUGGUGUUCCUCCUCCCAUCUUUCAAGAAAAAUCACCCCAGAAAGAAUUGUUAUUCUUCAGCUUGGACAACUUCACAGACUAAUUCUUUGAGCAGCUGCAGCUCCACCAGGGCAACAGACAGGACGAUACUGGGAGAUAAAUAUUGGCCAGGGAAUGGUCAGGAUCACAUAAACUCACACCUUUUCUGGAGGAAGACAGAGUGAACCAAGAUCUCCAUGUGUGAGAUUUAAUUAUAAGCAUAUGCAUGUCUAAUUACAGGCAUGUGAAUUCUUUUAUGAAGAUUUUUGGCUUUGAUACUUAAUUUACUUGGAGAUUAACACUUCCUAUACUACUGAAGUAAGAGAUUCUGAAACUAUUAACCUCUGGCUGCUUCACUUGUACUUGAUAGUUUUGAAUUGUGCUACUAUUUAACAGUUCCCAGGACAGCCUGUCUGAGUGUGUUGUAUUUCCCUCUUGGUUUAAGGUCUGUUCCAAAGCCCACCAAAGCCUCUGGUUGUCUUUGGAUCAAGCCAGCAGCCUAUAAUAGUUUUAUAAGUAUUAUAAACCAUUUCCCUUACAGGAGAGUCCUAAGGAAUUUAAUACUGAUGAAACAAAUGAAGAACUGCAAAGAAAAAAGUCCUUCUAGAGAAGUUUCUCAAGGAACCCAUUGUAACUCAAUAGAGAAGGUGAUUGAUUCUUCCAAAAAAAUAUUCCUGUUUAUAUCAUUCACUGAAUUAGAAUAAAGGAAACAGCCAACAGAAGCCCCCACACAGCAGAUUCCAACUGUACACCCUCUAAACAUGGGCAGGAGGCAGCAGGUGAAGGCAUCUACUUCAGAGGUUCUGUGCUAGGACAAAGCCAGCCCAUUAAGGGAAUUCUCCACAUGAAUUCAGCAGCCCCUGCCCAAGGCUGAGCUCGACCACAGAGCAGAUCUGCACACCCUGAGUUUGUUUCCUCAUCCUGCCUAAUUCUUUCUGGUGUUUGUAGGCAGUAGGUCUGAGCUUACACAUGCACACCUCGUUCAUUAUGUUCUCUGGGAAAAGUCACCACUUCAAUUACCUUGUACAGCAUGGCUCUGGGUAAAUCCCUGCUUGGAAACACGUGCUUGGUUUUCAGAGGGUGCUGCUAGAAGUGUUAGCAGCAUUCCAAGUGCUGCAGUAGACUUCCACACCACAAACACCAUUUUAUAUCCUUUACAACUGUGCACAUCUAACAGUGAACAAUAAAUCUAUCUUACUAAUUACACAUUCAGCUUGUUAUAACCAUCAUAAAAGUACAGCUGGUAAAGCCAUGAAAUGAUGUCAAAUCAUAUUUCUGCUUUCUGGAGAGAAGCUGGGUUAUUUUCCAGUCUCCUGAUGAAGCUGAGUGCUCAAAGCCAUGUGUGGAAACAGCUGCCAACUAUGUCAUCCACCUUUAAUUAGGUAAUGAUAUUGUCUUUUUUCCUACCCAUUCAAAAGUGCUUGACAUUCUGUAAUUCAAAGUGACUUAGGUGUUUAUCAUAAAAAGCUGCCUCAGGAAGAAAUUGAAGCACAUGGUACUAAAUCAGAACCAAUGUUUUCUCCUUAGCAGCCAAGUUCAGGCUGCUCAGCCACAGUUAUCUAAAAGAAUGGAAUUGCCUGUAUUUCAAAGAGGGUAUCUGAAGUAUGGCCAGCUAAAUAUGUUUCUGAAGCCCCCUUAGAAAUGUGAGCUUCUGCAGCAGUGUGGGGAAGCACAGCCAGUUCUUCAUGGCAACCCAGACAGAGGAACACAAAAUCUCUCUUAAAAAAUUGUCUGAGAUUUGUAAGAAAACACUGGUCUAACAAAAAAAGUGUUAGCUUAUUCAGGCUGGAGUUAAUGGAGUCUGGCUGCUGGAUGCCCUCUCUUGCAGACAACAGACACUGGAAGAACAUCCCAGCAAGUGGCAGCUGAACAACACAAGCUUUGGAAAAAACAAGGGGCUACUUGCAACAUGAAAGGGAGGUAAAUUAAAUUUUCACAUGUUCGGAGGAAAUACCACAGGACACGUUUAUACAAAUAUGUCUGAAUAAAACAGGCAGCAUCUGUUUGAAAAGCUGGCUCAUUAGCUGCCCCCACAGUUCCCGACGCAAUUUGGCUGGACAAGCAGUAAUGCUAAAAAAAUUAAAUUUUACCUUCCCAUAUCUGGAUGCAAAGGUUCCCGUGAGUAAGGAGUGAAAAAUAAUUAUCGUCUCAUCCAAAUCCCAUACAAACACACGCUGUGAUGACAGAUGGGGUGGAAAAAAGAAAUAUAGUUACAUAUUAAGCAACUGCAAGAACAGGUUCAGUCAGGAAAUAUGUCCUGUUGGACUAGAGAUUUUUAAGAUCUCAAGCCAUUUGGAGCACUGACUGGAUGUUUUUUGAAAGCAGGCAAAAUGAAACAUCAGGAAUUUUGGAACUGCCAUCCCAAGAGCUUGCUCUCCUAACAACCACAGAAAUCCCCUGUUGCCUAUCAAGUCAGGGGAACAAAACAUCAGACUUACAAAAAACCCAAAGGAAAAAAAAAGGGUACAUAUGAAGAAUAGUUUGAGAUGUUGAUAACACAGAAAUUGAGCAAUUGUUUAGACUACUUGUGCCUGCAGGUUCCAGUUGUAUUAGUAAUUUUGUUCUGUCUCUCAGAUUUGCUAACAGAGGCAACUGCUCAUCUUUGCUGGAUGUACCAAAGGAAUAUAAAUUGAAGUUAUUACCUCAAUC